AUUGCCUACAAAGGCCAGAAGAAGGGGUGAUAUCCCUUGGAGCUGGAGUUAUAACAGUUGUAAGCAGCCCCAUUUGGGUACUGGGAACAGAAAACAGUAAGCACGCUUAACUGCUGAACCAUCUCUGCAGCCCUGAAAUAAGUACUAUUAUUAUUCUUGAUUUACAGACAGGCAAGUUGAGGACUAGAGAAAUACGAUAACUUGGCCUGGGGUGUAUACUUAGUAAAUUUGGAGCAAGGAUGCAAACCCAGGCAGCUCCUCUUAAGACUUGGUGUUCUUACCCAUGCUCUUAGCAUCCCAAUGCAGCACUCCAUAGAACCUAAAAGAUCACUGUCCUGCAGGGGCCACUGACCCCGACAUGUAGCAACCUUAUAUGCUAGGUAAUGAUACAAAAAGUCCAUUUCCCUCAAGCCUUCCCCAAAAAGAAGCUAAGUGCUAACUUGUAACACGUAAGAGACCUUACCAGCUCUGGCAGAGCCCCAAUCCCACCCUGGUUCCUGUGACACACCUCCCUGAGAAAGAGGUAAGUCCUCUGAGCUGGCAGAAUCCUGAGAAAGGGCAUGGCCAAGAAAGUUACAUCUUUCCAAGCUAAAAUCCAUUUGUAACAAUAAUUUGUUUUUACCACUCAAGUUUUUUUUUCUCUCCUUCUUUCUUUCUUCCUUUCCUUCCUCUUUUUUUUUUUUUUUUUUUUCUCUCGAGACAGGGUUUGUCUGUGGCUUUGGAGGCUGUGCUGGAACUAGCUCUUGUAGACCAGGCUGAUCUCGAACUCAAAGAGAUCCGUCUGCCUCUGCCUCCUGCGCCACCAACGCCCGGCCUUCCUUCCUCUUUUUAAGACAGGGCUCACUAUAUAGCCGUGGCUGGCCUGGAAUUCACUAUGUAGACCAGGCUUUGCUCAAGCCAACAAAGAUGCACCUGCUGCCUCCCACCACCACCCCACCAUCCCAUGACCCCACCACCCUAGUGCUGGGAUUAAAGAAUGUACCACCACUUGUAUCAUAUCCAGGUUUUUUGGUUGGUUGUUUUAGUUUGGUUUUGAUUGUUGUUGUUGUUGUUUUGGGAGUCUUAUAAAACCUGGGGUGGCCUCAAACUCACUACGACCUUGAAUUCUCCAUCCUCCUGCUUCUGCUUCCCAAGUGCUAGGAUUAUAAAAUGUACAACCACUAUGUUUCUAUGAAACUAGAAAUCUAUGUAUGUAGAAUGAAAUCUCUGCACUCUAUAACACACAAUAGACUCCAGUCUGAGCUGAGGUCAUUCAGUCAACGAACCUUGGUGUCUUGGAACACUAACAGGUGCAGCACAAAGUGUACAUGUUGUAUGCUCAGAAUCAAGGCUGCAAUGAAAAAAAAAAAAACAGCACAGGUAAGCACUGCCAGGAAAAAAAAAAAAGCUGUUGGGAGUCUUAGGAUUGAUUUUGAAAUGAUUUUUGAUCACUGCACACUAAGAGACCUUUCACUGUUAUCAGUCUUCAUAACCCUCCACUUUAAGUUAUGUGACCACAGGUUAAGAAGCCCUGGUUCACAGAGGUGUGUGUUUCAGACUCAAACUAAAAAGAAGAAAAGAGCUAAAGACAAACAGGAUAUGAUUGGCCAUACACCUAGGUUGUCUGGUACACUGUAAUGAGGACAGGAACUUGGGUGGGAUUGGGGGCUCUGUGGGGCUAGCAAUAUGCUCUUUUUGCCUGGUUACUAGAUAUCCACUACAACAAUUUAUUACCCUUUCUAUUGUCAUUGUUGUCAUCCUUUUGAGACAGGGUCUAACUGUGUAGCCCUAGCUGGUCUGGAAAUUCUUAUGUAGAACCAGGUUGGCUAUGAAUUCUACUCCCACUGCCUCUGCCUCUCAAGUAUCUAUUGUAUGUUUACAAUUUUGUUGUUUUGAGACAGAGACUCACAUAGGCUAGGUUGACCACAAACUCACUACAGAGCUGAAGAUAACCUUGAACCUCAUAUCUUCCAAAGUCAGCCUCCCUAAAUGUUGGAGUAACAGAGCCUUCAUCCAGUAGCUGAUGGAAGCAGAAGCAGACACCCACCGCUAAACACUGAGCUGAACUCUGGAAUCCAGUUGCAGAGAAGGAGGAGUGAUGAGCAAAGGGGUCAAGACCAGGCUGGAGAAACCCACAGAAACAGCUGACCUGAACAAGGAGUUGCUCAUGGACCCCAGACUGAUAGCUGGGAAACCAGCAUAGGACUGUUCCAGACCCCCUGAGUGAGGAUGUCAGUUUGGAGGUCUGGUUAAUCUAUGGGGCCUCUGGUAGUGGAUCAGUAUUUAACCCUAGUACAUGACUGGACUUUGGGAACCCAUUCCACAUAGAGGGAUAUGCUCUUAGCCUAGAUACACAGGCGAGGGUCUAGGCCCUGCUUCAAAUGAUGUGACAGACUUUGAAGAUCCCCCAUGGAAGGCCUCGCCCUCCCUAGGGAGCAGAAAGGGGAUGGGAUGGGG
RNAcentral lists this long non-coding RNA (2436 nucleotides) under Cricetulus griseus (Chinese hamster). RNAcentral describes it as "lncRNA (ENSCGRG00015031626.1)". Lineage: Eukaryota; Metazoa; Chordata; Mammalia; Rodentia; Cricetidae. The record is from RNAcentral.